This 4334-nucleotide long non-coding RNA is filed under the name Heterocephalus glaber (naked mole-rat). RNAcentral describes it as "lncRNA (ENSHGLG00000043886.1)". The record is from RNAcentral. Lineage: Eukaryota; Metazoa; Chordata; Mammalia; Rodentia; Bathyergidae.
GAAGAGAGACGUGAUGACAGUAGUAGCGUCGAUAGCACUUUCUAGCUGCCCAGUGCUCUUCUAGGACUGGUACAUACACUGACUCAUUUUGCCUGAGUGUUGAUGAUCUUCUCAGUCUGCAGAGGAAGAGACUGUGGCACAAAGAGCUGGCCAAGAAGGUGUAUAUUUAUAUGGCUUGCAAAGCAGCCAAAGGGAACUUCAAAAGGAGCCUUCCUGUGGGGUUAGCAGUGAAUGAAUAACGGCUGGACAGACAGAGCAAAGAGAAAUACUAUGGAUUAAACUUGGUACCUUCACACUGAACCACAUCCCGCCCCUACCCUCCUUUUUUUAAGUUUUAAGACAGGGUCUCACUAAAUGCUCAGACUGGGCUGGAGCUUGAGAUUCUUCUAUCUCAGCCUCCCAGAGUGCCGGGAUUAGAGGCAUGCACUACUGCAUCCAGUUUAUAAACACUUUUACAUUUAGCUAGAUGUAGUUCUUCUUCAUCUUUAUAAAUUAAUUAUAUUUUUGUAAGAAUAUGGAAGUAAUUUAAACAUAACAUAGUUCUAAGUCUCAAACAGCUAAGACUGGACUAAAUUGGAACCUCCUCCUACCAAAUCAUAGUCCUUAGAAAAACUUAUGCAAGAGUUCAAUUUGCAACCAAAAAAUGAAUACCUCUUCACUUAUUAAAAAUUUGUAGGGCUGGGAAUUUAGCUCAGUGGUUUCAACGGCUGCUGCACAAGUGCAAGGACCUGAGUUCGAUCCCCAGUACCAAAAAAAAAAAAAGUUUUUGAAAAUAAUUUUGCAAGUCUCACCAUGGCACCAGGUGGUAAGUAAUAAAUUUUAUAUUCCUUCUGAGCGGAGGGGCUGGGGUUAAAAUGGCAGGUGUUAAAUCCCCAUCUUACCAUUUACCAGCUCUGUGACCUUGAGCAAACUACUAACCCAGUUACUUAUCUUUUAGCUAGAGAUAAUAAGGAACUAUCUGGUUAGCGGUGAGGAUUAGGUGAUCACACCUAGUGGCUGACACAUCCUCAGUCCCCAGCAUGUCAGCUGGGGGCGUCAUUCUUAUUAAAAGACCAGCAGCUUCUCUGCACUGUGACCAUUCUUGAGUGUGUACACUAUAUGUUGUGUUUUCGAUCACAAGUCUAGUAAAUAAUAUUUACUAACAAUGAUUUAUGGGAUAAGAAUAUCAAUCAUGAAAUUCGGCUCUUGUAAGUGAAAUACCAGAUGUCAGUAUCAGAGGUGCCCAAAUAAACGGAAGAAACACUGUAAGGGUUCCACAGCAAAAGUGUGAAGAACAUGAAUAUCGGGCACAUUUGGGGGGAGUCUCUUUAAUAUUAGCAGUGCUGGUUGUCUUGUAGAAGAGAAGACCAGAAUUCUGUCUUGGGAUGGUCUACAGUUCAGCAGGACCCUGAAGUAUAAAGACAUCUUUCAUUCACCAGAGCUCACAAAAUACAUUCAUCCCUAAUUUCUUACACUGACCAAGAAUAACAAUUGGCAAAAUUCACUUAUGCCUUGUUAAAAGUUGUCCCUUGAAUAAUACAGAAAAGAAAAUCAAAGAUUAAUUUGUCGGAAGCCAUGAGUCACAACUUAAGUCAACUUUAUUGCUCCCUCCUAGCCCACUGCUUUGCACACAGAAAUGAACAGAAUUAACUGGAAUGUAAAAUGAGGAAGUUGGACAAAAAAAUGUUUAAGGUUCCUUCUGAUUUUAAAUUUCAUGAAUGACAAACUGCCUAAAUAAUCAAACCAGCAUGGAGAGCUAAACACAAGAACCCACCACUGCUAAUGAAAAUGAUUGAAGCUACUUCUCCUUUCUUAAUUUCAAUUAAUAUGAGCAUGAUCAAUCCUCUGCUUUUGACUUCAGUGUUUAAUUUUAUUAUUAUAGUAUUAGGAAUAUGCCUACUCUCUAGUUUCUAGAAACAUAAGCAAACUAACAACUCUGAGAAAUACAUACAUAUAUACACUUCAGAGCUGGAGGUAUGAAAGACAUUUUUUAAAAAUAAUUCCUAAUCUUUAGUAUAUUUACGGGGCAUUAGUGUUAUUUAAUACAACAACUCUCCUGGAAAAAAGAAACCAACCUUAAAAUAAGAGUUUUCCAGGAAUAAAGGGAUGAUUGCAACAGAAAAAUACCAGAAAGGUAUAACCUUUGUAUUAUUUAGCAAUUUAAACCUUAUAAACAGACAGUGCACUUUUAAAAUCUAAUCACAGCUACAGAACUGGUGAAUAUAUUUUAGGAGAUACUGAUUACUUAUGAGAACAAAGCACAGUCGAAGUUGAAGGAUUAAAUUCCUCUUCAAUCCAGUCACUCACAUGUCUGUGUUUAAGUCACAAAGUGUUUAUGAGUCUGCUGUACAUUCUAGGCAUCAAUCCCCUUUCCAGAGAGCAAAAAAAUCCUAAUCUGACACAUUCCAAAUUGAAACAGAUUCAUCAGCAUUUUGCGUCUAUCAGAAUAGCUCCUAAAAAGCCUUUAGCAAAGGUGACUUGUAUGUGGAGAAUUAAAACACACAAAGAUUUAUAAAUCAAAAUGUAUGCUCUUUCAUUUUCUGAACCACAUGUAGGAGGAAAACUAUGAGUUAAAGAGAAAAGCCAGAGCGGACCACUGUUCCUUCACAGAAGCUAGCAAAUAAAGAAAGCAGGCACAAAACACCUGGAUUUGCUUUCCUGUUUCCUUGCCAGUGACUUUAAAAAAACAUAAGAUUAGCUAACAGUCAAAUAAGCCUCCAGAGCAAUGAAUUACACACAGACUCACAGACACUCUCACACAAGAGAGCAAAGCUAAUGCUAUUUAAAUAUCAUGAAAUAUUUUCCUAACCACGCACAGAUGGAAGUGAGAACUUUUGUGCCAAAUGCCUAGUUCAGAAACUUUGCUCUAUUUUUAAUUAUCUGGUUUAGAGGACCCGUUUGUGAUUAACUUCUGUGUUGGAUGGCAAAACAAGUAAAGUUCUUGACCCACAGCAAAGUACACAGAGAGAAGUUUAAUAAUUUUUAAACAGCCAGUGUAAUAUUGUAAAUCACAUGUAGGGACAACUAAUUUGUCAAAGACCUGUUGAUGGUCGUUGUAGCGUGAAGCUGUGAAGCGUAUCAGGAGAGUAGAAAAAUCCAAGAGGUCUUUAGUAAGUGACAUCAAAAUGAAGUUCUUAGUGACAAGCAGAUUUUAGUCACUGGGAAAUAACAAUGGAUCGAGAAAUAGAGAGGAAGAAAUUAAUAGUGCUAAGGCCUGAUCUGAGUGCAACAAGUUUCAAUUUGAGUAGGAGCUGUGAAUGGAAUAUGCCAACAGCUUUGAGCACAGGGAAUAGACUCAGCUGCAAAGAGACGUUGGUCAGGAAGCUCAAACCAUCAUAUCCAGAAUCAUACACUGGAACUGCUAAGCAGUGAAAUCCCAGAAGAGAAGUAGGAAGGGAAGAAGUGGCCUAGCGAUGACAAAAGAUGGCCAAGGUAAGAAGGAUGAAUAGGUUGAGAUGCUUUCAAAUUUGUAAGGGCUAUGAAUUUUUUUCAAGUAGUUUUUAAGUAAGAAAACAAUAAACACAAGUAUAAAUUAGUAUAAACAGAGAGGAAAUAAAAUAUAAGGCAUGCAGACAAGAACUUUGAAGAUAGAAGGUUAAAACCUAGGGGGCCUUUAUUUCUAGAGCUCUCUCUUGAUCAUCAAUUCUGCUGUGUUACAAUAGCUGUAUUUAUAGCCAGGCAUGGCGUCAUGCCCCUGUACUCCCACUUGCUUGCAAGGCUGAAACAGGAGGAUCACUUGAGCCCAGGAGUUUGAGACUAGCCAGGGGAACAUAGUUAGACCCUCCCAUUAAAAAAAUGGAUAUUCUGUAUUUUAGUCCAUAAGGGAUCUGGGGGAACCUCAGAGUGUACUGAAUCAAAAACUAUAGAGAGUAGUUCAGGAGUAAUAGUUAACGCUUCCUAUUCCCUAAUAGAUCCCUCUCUACUUUCAGAUCUCUUUUUCCCAGUCUCCAUAUAUGAAAGAAAACACCCGACACCUGUCUUCCUGUGUCUGACUUACUGUGUUUAAAAGUGGGAAUGAUCAAGGCAAGAUAUAUGCAUGGAUAGAAAUACCCAAGUGGAACCCAAGUGAAUGUGUACAAUUAACAUGGAAAUGCCCAAGUGAAUGUGUACAAUUAACAUGAGUUAAUAAAAAUAAAAAGAAAGUUGUCCUCUCAUAGGCAUAACAAUAAAGCAAGGUUCACUAAUUCAAAAAAUAGUUAAUGCUAAAAAUUAAGACUGAACUCACUGAUUCUGGACUCUGAGGCCAGGAUCAAUGCCAGAAUGAAUGGUCUGUUUGUCUGUUUGCUUGUUUGCAGUACUGAGGACUGAACCUGGGGAGCAUCACACUUUAUCUCCACCCCCUCCUUUUUUAGACA